RNAcentral lists this ribosomal RNA (1017 nucleotides) under uncultured bacterium. RNAcentral describes it as "bacterial SSU rRNA". It matches the Rfam family "Bacterial small subunit ribosomal RNA", at positions 355 to 1375 of the family's 1533-position model. The record is from RNAcentral.
UGAGGAAUAUUGGUCAAUGGGCGAGAGCCUGAACCAGCCAAGUAGCGUGAAGGAUGACUGCCCUAUGGGUUGUAAACUUCUUUUAUAAGGGAAUAAAGUCAUCUACGUGUAGGUGUUUGUAUGUACCUUAUGAAUAAGCAUCGGCUAACUCCGUGCCAGCAGCCGCGGUAAUACGGAGGAUGCGAGCGUUAUCCGGAUUUAUUGGGUUUAAAGGGAGCGUAGACGGGUCGUUAAGUCAGCUGUGAAAGUUUGCGGCUCAACCGUAAAAUUGCAGUUGAUACUGGCGUCCUUGAGUACGGUUGAGGCAGGCGGAAUUCGUGGUGUAGCGGUGAAAUGCUUAGAUAUCACGAAGAACCCCGAUUGCGAAGGCAGCCUGCUAAACCGCCACUGACGUUGAGGCUCGAAAGUGUGGGUAUCAAACAGGAUUAGAUACCCUGGUAGUCCACACGGUAAACGAUGGAUACUCGCUGUUGGCGAUAGACUGUCAACGGCUUAGCGAAAGCGUUAAGUAUCCCACCUGGGGAGUACGCCGGCAACGGUGAAACUCAAAGGAAUUGACGGGGGCCCGCACAAGCGGAGGAACAUGUGGUUUAAUUCGAUGAUACGCGAGGAACCUUACCCGGGCUUGAAUUGCAGACGAAUUGCUUGGAAACAGGCAAGCCGCAAGGCGUCUGUGAAGGUGCUGCAUGGUUGUCGUCAGCUCGUGCCGUGAGGUGUCGGCUUAAGUGCCAUAACGAGCGCAACCCUCGUGUCCAGUUACUAGCAGGUUAUGCUGAGGACUCUGGACAGACUGCCAUCGUAAGAUGUGAGGAAGGUGGGGAUGACGUCAAAUCAGCACGGCCCUUACGUCCGGGGCUACACACGUGUUACAAUGGGGGGUACAGCAGGCAGCUACCGGGCGACCGGAUGCCAAUCCCGAAAGCCUCUCUCAGUUCGGACUGGAGUCUGCAACCCGACUCCACGAAGCUGGAUUCGCUAGUAAUCGCGCAUCAGCCACGGCGCGGUGAAUACGUUCCC